AUCUCAUGUGACUAGAUAUUAUCAUAAAUCUACAUAAUCUUUCACAAUAUUAAUAUCUGUACACAACCGCUAGAGAAAGCUGCUUUCAGUUUCCUAAUACCUACAUAUUUAAUCAAAAUGAACGCGCUGUAUGCGGGAGUCUAACUGCAGGUUUUGAUAAAGAUAUAAAGGUGAAGCUGUGAUAUAACCAUGGGUGUAUCAAAGAUGAAAGUUGAACCAUUUUUAGAAAAUGAACAGGAUGAUUUUUUGGAUAUCAAAUUGAUGAAAAAUGAAGAUGAAACUCCUAUAUUAUCUAGUAGAUUUGAUAACGAUAUAAAGGUGAAGUAGUGAUGUUACCAUGGAUGUAUCAAAGAUGAAAGAUGAACCCUUUUCUGAAAAUGAGCAGGAUGAUUUGGUGGAUAUCAAAUUGAUGAAAAAUGAAGAUGAAACUCCUACAUUAUCUAGUAUUAAAAGUUAUCUCAUGGAAACCAAGGCUCUGUAUCCUCAUAUUAUCUGCAGCCAUCUAGUUCCUCCAGUUCUCCUAGGUAGUGUUACUGCUUCCCCAACUCCCAUGGCUAUGAAUUUGAAUCCACUCCUGUUUUUUGGACUGUUCUUGUGGAACUGGUAGAUGUUAUGGAGGAAUGAUCUUUGUGUGGAAUAUCUUUGUAUGCAAGUUGAAGAUGAUUAGCAGUGCAGUGUAUGGCCAACAGAGAUGAACUGAUUUAUUUCAGGUUUACAGCUACUUCUUGAUACCUCCCCAGCAUGACUGCUGCCCCGUCUGAUCCAAAUUCCAUGAGUUUCUCUGAAGAUAGGUCUGGUCAAUGCCAAGCCUCUCAUCAAGGCUGUGAAGAAUUGCCACUGUGAUUGGUUCCCCAUUGGCAGUUGCAACAUUUGUCACAGCAACAAGGUCAGUAGCCACUGUCCUAUUGAUGACGUACCGAACAUACACCAUCUCUUCCUCUGUCACGGAUGUAUUUGUUGAACCAUCGCUGAUCAAAGAGAUGAACUUUGUUUCCCUUGUUCUUUUUUCCAUUUCAAUUCUUUCUAUCUAAAGACAUGUAAUCAACACCUAAAAGAAAUAAAGUUAGAACUUUAGCUUGCACACCGAAAAGUAAAGAAAUAAAAUUAAGGUUUAACACACUAGA
Molecule: long non-coding RNA, 1124 nt
Filed under: Limulus polyphemus (Atlantic horseshoe crab)
Lineage: Eukaryota; Metazoa; Arthropoda; Merostomata; Xiphosura; Limulidae
Description: uncharacterized LOC111088649, transcript variant X2
Source: RNAcentral